UUCUACCCCUUCGAGGAUAAGGAAGGGUGCUCGAUCCUCCAAGAAUUGGACGAGCUAAGGUACUUUUCUUGUCAGGCUCACCCAAAUCAUUGUAGACAUCAUAAUCAUAUAUUCUUUCCCAUUCUUUACGCUCUCCGGUUCCAUCUCCUCUUAAAGUUUUCAAUUCUUCCUUUCUAUAGUACACUAAUGGAGCUGGUGUUUCACUUGGAAGAUAUGUCUACAUAAAUUUAAUCAUUCAUAACCUCAAAUUUCACAAACAAUAAUUUAUAUAUAUAACAGUUUUAAUAAAUAUAUUUAACAAAGUAAGAUAAAAUUUAUAUACUUAAUUACCUUGUUGGCAAAGAAAAUGCGACCAGUUUUGUACUUUUUAGAAUUGUAAACCCAUGAGUUGCAAACAAAGUUGAUGGUUUCAUGGUUUGGAACAUUUUCAAGAGUCAAACUCACAAGGAAGAAUUCACCUUGCAUAAAAUUAUCGAUAUAAAAAGCUCCUGGAAUUCCCAUAUCACUGUCCCAUUCAAAAUGAAUACUGAAAGCAGUUUGUUUGUCUCCCAAUGUUGGUAAAGAGGUAAGAAGACCUUCCAAAAAUGUUUGCUUUCCUACUUUUCCUUUUCCAGUUCCUAUUAAAAUGUCAAAUUUUGGAUUCCCAAUUUCAUUAAUCAUCAUUCUAAAUUGAUUAUUUAUAACUAAUAUUCUAAAUAAAAAAUAACACGAAACUAAGGUCAAUCUUAAUGGACUGAGGGGUAAAACUCUUAAAAAAUAUAAGAUAAAAUUACUUACACUUGAUAAAACUAAGAAUAAUUAUUUUUUACUUCUUAAUAUAAGGCCAGUUAUAUAUGAUCGUAUUAAAAUUUUAUAUUACAUAAGACAAUUUCUAGUUGUGACUUUCUUUUAUGUAAUACCCAGCAAAUCUAGGACUCUAGAUCAACGGUGGAUAGUAUAUUUUAAAAAAAUAAUUAUCAAAGUAAAAGCCUAAACUGAUUUUUUUUAGAAAAAAUAUAUUGAAACCAUGCUACAUUGGUCCUUGGAAAAAAAUAGUCACAUAUUUUGAUCCGAAAUCACUUUUCUCUUUACAUCUUUUUUAUUUAUCUUGUUAUUUAAAUAAAUGAUAUCUAUAUAGAUCUACUUUUUAUUUAUAUUUUCAUGUUAUUUUGCUGAUUAAAUGAAAAGUUAUUAGAUUUUUAUGAUCUCGUUUAAGUAUUUUUUUUUGUUUAAAUUAACUUUGAUUCAAUAUAGAUAUAUAUAUAUAUCAAUAACUCCAAUGUCAUCAAUGUUUACAAGUUCGAAGAUAAAAUUAUUUCAGCUACUUUAAUUUUAUCAAAUUUAUAAAUAUUUUGUCCUCUUAUACUAUUAAUCCGAAUAUUAAUCUUAUUUACAAGUUUACCGUUUUUAAUUUUAAGGAAUUUUUAUUUGCGUAGUUCUCAAUUGAUAUAUUUUAUUAAUUUGAAUGAAAUGUAUAUCAUUGUUUAAUAAAAAAUAAAAUUGCUUAAUUAAAUUAUAUAUUAAAAUAGGGAGAGUGAGAAAGAGAAUUGUUAUUACCAUCGUCAGUUGUAGCACUGAUCAACUUGAAAGCAAUAGAACGACCCAAGAAAGAAGUGGCGGUAUCAAGUAAAGAGCCGGCGAUAUCUCCGAUAGCGCCGAUGGCACCACCGAUUAUACCACCGGGGCUUUGAACUGCAGUGAGAGCGUUGAUGUCCAAAACAUUCUUUUGCAUCAACACCACAGUUCCUUUCAGCUUUUCGCCUCUGUUAAAAAUACCUUUCACCAAUGAAGCCAUCAAGCUAUGUUAAUUAAUUCACUUUCUUUGACAAAUGUAAGAAAAGCUCGUGUCUUGUAACCAUGGAGUGUGCUUAGUAUUUAUAGACUAUCGUAGUUGUCAUAAGAAGGUUAGAUCACUAAAAAUAUACUUUUUUAUUCAUUAUUUGACAACAUGUGAAAAUACAUUGGGACACAUCUCUUCAGCUAUUUUUUUUAUUUAUUUAUUAAAUUUUAUUUAUUAAAAAAUGUAGGAUGAUAAAAUAAUGUCUCAACUUAAGUUAGUGAAGAUUUUAUAGUUGAUUGAACACUUACAAAUAAUUUACAUUUGCGUUCUUUAAUAAUAUUAGAGGAUAUUUAGGAUAUCGAAUUUAAGAGAGAGAAUAGGUUGGGCCGAUGUAGAGUUUGUUAGGCUUGUAAAAAAAUUCAAGGUUUAAGUCUAGUUUGUCGGUUACAGACUUACUUUUUAAGUCUGAGUUUGACAUUGAUAAAAGUUGUGAUAGAAGUCUGGUAUUAUAUUAUCUGUUAUCAUACUUAAAAGCCUAAUUCAUUUCAAUAUUUUUGAAUAAAUAAUAAAAUAUAUAUUUAAAUAAAUUAAUGAAUUAAUAUGUCAAUAAAAUUAAGUUCUAUUUUGAUAUUUAACAUUAUAUUUUGAAGAAUAUGAUUUUAUAAAUAUAAAACUUAAAUUAUAUUUUAUAAUAAUACAUUUAAAUAUGUCAAAAACUAAAUGAUAUUAAUAUGCUAAAUUAUUAAAAGUUGAAUAUAUAAUAAAAAAAAAUCAAAAUUUAGUAUAAGAAUUAUACUGGUAAAAAAAUAUUAUUUAUAUUUAUUUAAAUAAGUCGACCUAAUAGCUCAAUAAAUUUAUCAGGUAGUUUGAUCUUUUUAACUAAUCUAUUUUAAAAAAAAAAAGUCUAACAUGAUCUAGACCUGACAUAUACUAUUAAUCUGAUCUAUUUUCAUCUUUAAUUCGAUCUAAUACCUAUUUUUUAGUGUUGUAUUAAUGUUGUUUCUUGUGCAAUUUUAUAUUUAUCGUGAUUAUCUCGUGGCUUAUAAAAUAAUAAUGUCAUUUGCAUAAUUAUUUUGAUUGUUCUUAUAUGUACCAGCUUUUACGUUAUGGGUAAUCAUGAGUCUAUUGCACUAUUGUUAAUUACGUUCUUACCUGUAAGCCGACCAAAAUAUUCCUUUUUUAUUUUUUUUAUUUUUUUAUUUUCAUACUCUUGUUUAGAAGUAAAUUUCAAAUUUAACCCUUAAUCUCACUUAUUCACUAAUUAAUUUAUUAAAGUAUUCUAAUUUAAUAUUUCUAAUGUUAAUCACGUUUUUGUUUUGUUUUAAGGGAUGGGUAACUUAAGAGUUAUCUUUAUAUCAUGGUAUAGAAAAUAUAAUUUAAAUUAUAUUUUAUUUUAUCUUAAAUCUAAAAUAAUGACAUUAUUUAACUAUUUCACAUAAAUUAAAAAAAUUAUUAUUAAUUAAAAUUUUCUUUUUAAUCAUUGAUGUAUUCUAUUUACCACAAAUAUAAAAUAGUGAAUAAUAAAUUGAUAGUGAUUAAUAUAAUUUAAUACUUAAUUGUAGUUCUGGACCCUUUGUUUUUAUCAAUUAAAAAAAUUGAUAUAUUUAUUUUAAAAUUCGACAGUUGUUGUCCUUCUAUAAAAAUUUUGAACUAAUAAAAAUGACAAUUUAAGGUAUUUUAAAUAAUGUGAGAUUCAAUUACAUGAUAUAGAAUCACCUAGAUAAAUUAAUUAUUUAUAUAUGUCAUUAAUUAAAUUAUAAAUAUGAAGAAAAAAAAUUGAAGUUGAAAGUUACAUUUUUAUAGUGUUUUAUUUUGAUUUUAUAAAUGUUAAUCAUUCUACGCCAUUUUAUCAUAUGACAUAUUAUUUAAAACAUGUAACGUGACCAUUUUUUAGUUAAAAAAUAGAGGGUCCAAAUUGUCAACUUUUAAAAUAUGAAAUUAGUUUCGUGAAUCAGUAGAAAUAUGAGAACUAAAACUAAAAUCAAACUUAAUAUUAAUUAGAUAAUACAGUUAAAAAAAAUUAAAAUUACAUUAAAAAAUGAUGUAAUUUAUACAUACAAUAUAAAUAAUUUUUAUAUUAUCAAUCAAUAACACAACCGUUAUAUUAUUAGAGGUAUUUAAAUUUUAUCAAAUUAUCUUUAAAAUUAUAUUCAUAAAUACAUAUGUACUUAUGAUAUAUUAAUAGUAUAAAUUUUUUAGAUAGUACAUAACAAUUAAUUUUGCGAUGUUCAGACGUGUUGACCCAAAUGACAUUCCUACAAAAAUUCUUGAAAUUCCUACAAAAAUGCUUUUAGUCUCUUCACAAACGGAUGUAGGAAUAAUCAUAACCUGAGGUUGCCCCACCUAUCUUAAUUAAAAAUUUAAAAACUAACUUGGUGAGAUUUGAAAAUCUUAAAGCAAAAUAUUAUAUCAAUAAAUAUACAUCAUGUGCGUGUACGGUGUAUGGUAAAUCCUUUUGGAAAGAUUUAUUCGUACAAACACAUAGCAUAUCACAUAUGUUAUUUAGACAUAAUAUAUACUAUUAGUUAAUGUCUUUUUUUCAUCGUAAUCAUACGAGUAAAGAGAACAUAUUAAUAAAAAAAAUUCAAAACUGUAUGUUAAUAUGGUUUUUGAUGUCGAAAUUUAUGUCAAAAUAUUAUUUCUGCAUAGUACAUAUAAAUAAAGAUUAUGAUAUAAUUUUUGAAAAAUUAAAAGAUUAUUAAAUAUUUAUUUUAUUUAUAAGUGUAUGUUUUUUUAGUUUUUCAUAAGUUAUUUUCACCAAAUGUAAUCUGUUAUGUUAGAUAUUAAAGUUGAUACAUCUUUUGAUGAAAAUUCAAACUUCAACAUGUUAAGUGCACAACAAAGCCUGGAUAAAACACAUUAAACAACUUUUAUCAUUUUAAGAGAUUUAUUUCAAAUAUGUCAGCUACAUAUACCAUUUAUGUGAUGGCCAUUUUUAAAUAGUAUAUUAUAAUAGUUUAACUUUAAUUUUUUUUUUUGUGUGACUAUUAUGUUUCCUAUUUUGGAUUAUUUACCAAUAAUAUAAAUUAUGUAAAUGUUAUAAAAAUGUAUAAUUGAUUUUGGAAACAAAUAUUAUUUCCAUAAAUAAAUUGAAGUUAUCAAAUAAUAUUUUGGGACAGAAACGGUAGUAAUUAUUAUAAGCAUGUUUUACAAAAUAAUUUUUUUAAUAUUCUAAAUAAUAAGUUAUUGAUGUAAUUAAUUUGAGGUUAAAUAUAUCCCCUUAAAUUUAAUUACAUUAAUUAAAUAGUGCAAAUUUUAUAAAACUAUUUUUGUAUUAAUAAUUCAUUUGUGCCAAAUUAUAUGUCAUUUUUCCAAUUUCACAUAAAUUAAAAAAUAUUAUCAAUGUUGUAUAAAAAAGAGAAAUUAUGAUUUGUUUUAUAAAAUAUCGUUCAUUAAUGAUAUAAGAACGAUAAAUUUAAAACAUUGAGAAAAAAAAAAAACAAAGUAAUACAUAGUAAAAAGUUUAAUAGCAAAAGAAACAUUAAUAAUUUAGUGAUACCGGAAAACAAUAUCAUUUAGAAAGAAAUUAUUGAACACUUAUCUAACCAUUAAUAGUCGAACAUAAUUAAUCAAAUAUCAAAUAAUUAUAAGCAAUAAAAAUAAUUAUAAAAUUCUAAUUUGUCAAAAUAGCAAAAGAAACACAUCAUCGUUUUUCCUCUUAACUUCAUAGUAUCCAGUGCAACAUCCUCAACUCUCACUAUAUCGACAUAUGAAAAUUAAAGCGAAUCUUAAUUCUUUCAAACCUCUCUUUGAAUACAUGAGUGACAUUGACUUGAAUCCCCAAAGAUUAAGUUCACCCUUUAUAUUUUUUUUAACCUAUUAAAUAUAGUUUUUAUUAAAUAUUUCAAUGGUUAACAUUUGUCAAAUAAAAUAACAAAAAUAACAAAAUCAUACAGUUAUUUUAAAAAAUCAUUUAUGUAAUAUAGUAAAAAAGAAAAUAUUAAUGUUUUAUUCACUACACUAUUAUUUAAAAUAAUAAGGACCAUAAUUAUAACUCAUACUAAUAGAAUUUUAACACGUGUAUCACACGUACUUAUAUCAAUGGUAAUCUAUUCUGCAUCAAUUACCAUUAACAACAUAAACAACAUAACUUGUAUAAAACAAAUACUAUAAGUCAUUCAGUUUAAGAAAUAGAGUUCAAUUUAUUAUUUGAUAUUGUCACCCAUUUAAUCAAUCACUGCUCUUUUAUUCAAUUACAAAUAUGAUUAAUAUUUUAAAAUAUCUUGAAAUUAUUUUUUCAAUUGUGUUACUUUAAGAGCAUCCUAAUUUUGGUACUUUAAGAGCAUUCACUUAAGUUUAUCUACUUAUUUUAAAUGAUUUUGAUGAUUUUGAAAGGAUUUUAUCAUUUUGUAUAACUUUUUUAAAAGAGAUUUAAAAAUAAAAGUUUUAAAUAAGAAAUUAGUUUGAAUAGCUUCUAUUUUAAGUAUUUCAUCAUUUUAUUACAAAUUUUUUUAGAUGAUAAAAUUUCAAAAAUUGUUUAAAAUAUGAAGCUAUUAAUUUUGAGUAGUUUCUCAUAAAAAUCAUUUUCAAGAUGUAUUUUUUUUUAAAACAAUAAUUUUUUUAUUUUUUUUAAAUAUUUAUAUUAUUAAAUAUUAAAAUUAUUAUUUUUAAAUCUAUAACAUAUAACUCUUAAACAACUUUUAUUGUUUUUGAAUAGGUUUUCAUAAAAAUCAUUUUUCAUUUAAUCUAUAACAAACAUACCAAUAUCUUUAUUGUGUAGAUUACUUUUUCAGCGCAUUAAUUACCACUUUUUCCAUGCCAUAUUGCAGAAUUGUAGUACUGCUAGCUAGCUACGUACAAACCUUGGUGUUCUUAAUUCAUUCAUUGAAUCCAAACAUGAAGGUUGCAUUUCAUAUUACAUGUCUAACAAAUACAAGAGAUACAUACAUCAUAUGUAGUUCUUAGUAAAGUAAAACGUAAGAGUGAACAACCAAAGAUACAAAGCAAACAUGACAUGAUUGUGAUGAGGGAAUUUGAUUGCUACUCAUAUUUUAUUCAAUGCCGCAACACAACAAACCAUCAACCUCUUUAUAUGGAGAUACUAUUGGGAAUGUCUCUACAAGUCAAUCCUUUAUCACUAGAAGGAUAAAGCAAAGUGUAAGGCAUUUUCACUAGUCCACGUCGGUUUCUCAAUGACUCAUCAUUGUUCCUUUGAAUGAGCAUUUGCUCAAUUUUUGCCAACUUCUUUCCAAACCUCUUGAAAGCCUCAAUUGGUUGUGAAUCAGAAGUCCAAAGAUCACCUUUAACUCUUUGUCCAAGGUAUACAACAUAUGGAUAGUCCUCUGUUAAAAGACGAAUGUCGUGUGGAGAAGUUGAUCCUCAAUAGCCACUCUUCUAGAUAACAAGCAAGGAAGAUCACUACUAAAAAUUUCACUUUUAGUGACCGAUUUGGAGACUAAAUUUUUUCGAUCACUUUAGAGACUGAAUUAGAGACCAAAAUACAAAACUGUAUAAAGAACCAUUUUUUUGUCACUAAAUCGGUUGCACAUGAUAUUUAGAGACUGAUUUAAUGACUUAAGUUUUAGUGACAAAAAAAUCGAUCUCUAUUAUUUAUAUCUUCUUUUUAAUUAAAAUUGCUGGCAAAACUUUUAUUAAUGUCUAUUUUUGUUACAACACAUAUUUUUAUUACAUCACAUUUUUCAUUUGCGGCAUAUUUUGUUUUAAUUGGACAUAUCUUUGAUUUUGUUUUGUCUCAUCAGUUUCUCAUAAGAAAUCAUCUCAAAAUUUAAUUGAUUUGUGGACAUGAUUUUGUAUUUAAGUGUAUUACGUGUUUUUUUUUAUAAAUGAAUGAACAUCAAUGUUUUAGGAAUCACUAUUAGAAAAACCGAUUUUAGCGUCGGCCAAAAGCCCACACUAAUGUUGACUUGGCGUCCGAUUAGCGUCGGUGUCGGCCUAGGCUAAAACCGUCGAAGUCAAUAGCGUCGGUCAAAUACCAUCCCAAAGUAAAUGCAUCCAACACUAACAAAUAACAAUACCUUCAAAUUAGAAUCCGCUAGUUUAUAUCCUGAAAAAAUUCUAUUGCGUCGGAAUUACGGUCGACAAAUUAGUUAGCGUCGGCUACUCCGACGCAAUGGUCAACUAAUAAAGUAAGUGGACUAUUAAUAAAAGUCAACUUUGUUACUAAUAUAGCGUCGGGCAUGCCAAUGCUGCGAUCAACAAUUGAAACGUAAACAACAAAGAACAAAUCAAAUAAAUGUAGUUAAAUAUGUCACCACAAGCAUGAUAUAAUUGAUAAUGCAUAAAAAACACUUUAACAAAUGCCUAAUUCUUUCACCAGGUUCCAUUAUGCUUCAUUAUUAUAUACUUAUAUCAUAAAUCCCAGAUAGACAUCAAACAGAGAAAAUAAACCUUGCCUUGCAAAACGAGGUAAAGAACAACGUCAAAUUCUGUAUAAAUGCCUAAACAGAGGGUGCAAAAAAGCCAAGGUUAGACAUUGCAAACAAUUCAGGAAAUUGGGCUUCUUAUUGAGAUGAUGAAUACUGUUGCUUAUUUUUUAAAACCACAUGUAAUAAUAACUCAUGUAAAUUGUUGGUUUUUUAGAGGAAUGAGUACGCAUACAUGAAUGUAGUAUGUGUGUGACCCUCUUAGAUUCAUUAAGAUUAAUGUAUGAAAACAUUUAAAAGAAUAAUGAAAUAGAUUGCAGUAAAAAGAGCAUUACCAUUGCUCCCUUCAACAAUUCCUGCGGGUUCAGAGAGCUGCAAAACAUUGAUAAAUAUGUUUUAACAUAUAUCCAUGGCUAUUAGGUAAGUAAGACUUCAUUUGUUUUGAUUUGUUAUGUUGAUAUUAAUUUGCAUGAGCAUUUACAUUAAGUCGCUUGCACAUGAAAUAUUAAUUACUAAUAGAAACUUGCAGGCUGACCAGUCAAUCUUAGUGUCACAAGAACUAUACAUAAAUAAGAAUGAGGAGAGAAUUUUGAGAAACUUCAGCAAAGACAGAAUUUGGAAAUUGCACAUAAAGACAAAAGGAACAUAUAAAAUAUCAUAACAUAUAUUCCCCUUUGAAGUAUUACACACACACACAAAUACAAUCAAUUGAGCCAUGCACUCAGCCCCACUCAACUCCACCUAGUAAAAAGUGGUUUGCUUGUUGUUGACAAUGAUAAAGAAAUCUAAUUAUAGAAGCAAAAUUAGUACUGCAAGGCGCAAGCUAUAAAAGGCUUCACAAAUUGUCCGAGAAGAGAGGAUCACCACCAGCUAGCAAACGAGAUCCUCCUGUUUUCAGAUCAACUCUUGAUCAUUGGUACAGUAAGGACAUAAUUCGAACAACACAACCAUAAUUCGAACAGUACAGUCAAACCCUAAACCAAAACUGAACACAAACGACUUAGAUGGUUAAGGUUACAAUUACAUCGAGAAUGGAUGACAGUGAGAGUGAGCCUGAGAGACGAAAGUGAGAGUGAAUUUGAGAGACGAGAUUGAGACGGCGAAAGUGAGUCUGAGAGAUGAGCGGACGAGAGUGAGAUUGGGGGUGAGGCUGCGAGAGUGAAUGUGAGGCGAGGGAAACGGUGACACGGCGACGAAAGGGUGAGAGUGAAGAGUCAAGGGCGAGGGUUAGGGAAAAAUUAAUGAAGUGGGGAUAGGGAAAAUGGGGUGGGUGAGAGAUAAUAGGAAAAAAUAAUUUUAAUUUUUCAAAUAAGAUUAAAAGAUUUAAUUUUACAAAUCAGACAAUGUAGCGCCAGUCGACCUAAACGGCCAUAUUUUACUUAGCGUCGGCUAAGCCGACGCUAAUGUUUAAGCGGAAAAGAAAUUAAUGAACAUCAAUGUUUUAGGAAUAAAUGAACAUCAAUUUUAGGAAUGUUUGCAUAUAUUUGGGUUUAGAUAUAAGUCAACUAUAUAUUGUUUGAUUUGAUUCUAAAGAUGAAAAAAGGAUUUUGGAUAAGGAGCAGCAACAACCAUUCUAUCAUUGCAAACUCAUUUGAGUUUGUUAAGUUGCCAAUUGUGGCUAUAUAUUUUUGAUGAUUCAUUUGUAUUUAAAAUGAUUUGUUCAAUAUAUUCAGCAAAUAAUGCAUAUUAUUGGAAUUAGCACUGAACAAAGCAUAUGUUAUUUUGAAAAUGAAAAAAAUAGUGUUUUGAGGAGGAACUAUAAUUUCUCACCCGUUUGGAAAUUGUUUAACUUCUUAUUUCUCAAUCUAACACACUCACAUAUUAGGGCUAUUCUGUACGUGGUGUUUAGCUCUCAUUUAUGAGAAAAUUUCAAUGGCAACUUUAGGUUGUUUCGUUGGUUAGUAUGAUUGACUUAUUUAUGUUACAAACAAUUUUGAUUUGUUUUUUAUUGAAAAGCUUCUUUUCUUUCGUAUUGUUUUGUUCACUUGUACAAUGAUUGACUAUCUAUGUAUGCAUCUACAUUACCUAUAAAUCUUAUUUGGAUUUUAUCCAAAAGCGCUUCAUUUUCCUAAGGUUUAUGUGAAUUUUAGUUGCUAAAAUAUUUUCAUUGAAUUAUUCACUAAACUAAAAUUGAUUAGUCACUUACUAAUAUUAUGUAAAGUUUCAAAUAUUAAGAUUCUUCUAUUGUUGGUUAUUUUUAUCAACAACUUACAAGAUCACUUUUUUUAUUUAGGUCCCGCUGAGGAACUUGUUGAAAAACCGUUUGUUGUCAUAAAUUGGCCACAAUAUUCAAAUUUUAUAUUUUUCAAGCUAAAUACCCUAUCAAAAAGAAUUAUGAGAUAAACACUUAUUACAAAUAAACAUAAAAAAUAUGAGAUAAAUAUUUAUAAAAGAUAAAUUUAAAAAGCGCAUGAAUAAUAUUUAUCAUUAUUACUUUAAAAAAAUAUAAGACAAAUAUUUAUCACGAAAAGUAUAAAAAGCACGUGAUAAAUAUUUAUCAUUGAAAAAUAUAAAAAAUACCAGACAAAUAUUUAUUACUGAUAAAUAUAGAAAUACAUGAGACAAAUAUAUGUUAUUAAUAUAUAAAAAAUAUAUGACACAUAUUUAUCACCGAUAAAUAAAUAUAAAUAAAAAAUACGGAACAUAUAUUUGUCAUUGAUACAUAAAAACAACAUGAAAAAAAUAUUUAUCACAAAUAAAUAUAAAAAACACAGGAUAAAACUUUGUCACAGAUAUAUAAAAAGAAAUAUGAAAAAAAUAUUUGUCAUCGAUAAAUAUUAAAAAUACACACAGAAUAUAUAUUUUUCAUCGAUAAAUAUAAAAAAUUAUGGGACCAAUAUUUAUCAUUGAUACAUAAAAAAAAAUACAUAACUUAUAUUUGUCAUUAAUCAAUUUAUAAAAACAAUUGUGACAAAUAUAUGUCAUUAAUACAUAAAAUAAGACAAGAAAAAAAAUUGUUGAUAAAUUUAAAAAAGCACAAAACAUAGGGCAAAUAUUUAGUAUUAAAAUCAUACACGAUACAAAUAUUUGUCUUUAAAAAAUUAGUUAAAAUUAAUGUUAUUUUUAAUAUCUGAUACAUAAAAAUAAGAAUAAUUAUAAUACCGUAUUUAUAAAUAAAAAAAUAUACUCAAGACAAUUGUUUGUCAUAAUUAAUUAAUGAUUUAAAUAUAUAUUUGAUCAUCAAUUAUAGUAUUUUUUUAUUUUAGUCCUCAUAUGUUUUUUUGUUUGAUUCACAUCUCUCCAAAUACAUAUUCAUUUUAAAAUGGAGGGAGACAAUAAAAAUUAGAGUUUUCAGUUUUAGUUUCCCUUUAAAAAAAUAAUCAAAAAAUUAUUUUUUAUAAAAAAAUUUAUUUAAUACAUUGUGUCGUCAACUUAAUAUUUUAAUUACUUAAUGGUGUUAGAAUUUUUUUAUCAAAAAUUGGUCUAAAAGACUAUUUUAAAAUGAAUAUGUAUUUGUAGGAAUGUGAAUCAAACAAAAAAAUUUACGAUAACUAAAAUAAAUAAAUAAAAUAUUAUAAUUGUAAGGACUAAAGACGUAUUUAAAUCUUAAUUAAUUAAUUAAUUUUAAUUUAAUUAAUUAAGUUUAACUUACAUUUGUCUUUUUUGCUUAAUUUAAUUGGUUAUGCUUCAACAUUAUAGUAUCGUGCUUCGAUUAUAUCAAUUAAAUUUUUUGAUAGUAAAAUGUUAUAAUUUAUUUUAACAUUUAUGCAAAUAACAUAUCAUAAUUAUUUAUAUAAUAUUUAACUAUUCAUGUUAUAAUUAAGUGUUAUGUAUUUUUGUCCAAAUGACUUGUCCAAAUAACUGUGCCCAACCAAGUAUUUUUCUUUGUGCAUAGAGUAAUUUGCACUGUUGUAGUUAUUGAGUUAUUAUUUGUUUUGAAGUGAUUGAGUUAUUAUUAGUUAAGUUUAUUUUACUCAAAACUUUGUUAUUUGUUAUUUUAUAAGCAAAUAUAAAUAAUUAGUUAGAUUAUAUUAAUAUAUGAGAUCAAAUUUGAGAUAUUUUGAUUGAAAUGUUAUAUAGUAUAUAUAUAUAUAUAUCCCAUUAUGUUAGAUUAUUCAAUUAAUUAAUUAUUAUAAAUUAUGGCUAAUUGCUAAUAAAUAUUAAUUAAUUAUUAUAAAUUAUGGCUAAUUGCUAAUAAAUAUUAAUUAAUUAAUGAAUCUGUGUUGAAUUAUGUUUCUUAAAUCCAAUGAAAAGACUAUCCUUAAUAUUUUAUAGAAAAUUUGUCUUCGAUAGUAUAAAGUUGACCAAAAUACGUUACUAUAAAUCAACUUCUGUUGAUGUAUUAAGCAUCGGAGAGCAAAAAUAAAGGUGGAGGAAUACUUACCGACCUUUACACCAAUUUAUUUUUGUGUAAUAUCUUUUUUAAAAUAAAAUUGAUCGAUUUAAUAUUUGUUGAGAUAAUAUUAAUUUUAAAUAAAAAUUUAUUAAUAUUAAAUUUAAAAACAGUAGAAUAUAGAGGUGGAAAAAUCAAUCGAAUCGACAAUUUGUUUAUAUAAUUUAUCGAUCUCAGUUUUAAAUUUUAUACAUAAAAUACUAAAAUAUAUAUGUAAGGGAUUUUCGUUUUUAAUUUCAAGAUCCCUAAAUGUCUCUUACUAGAAUUAUUUUUUAUUUAACUAUUUUUCUAAAAGUUGAUUGAAAUUUUAUGUUUUUAUCAAUACAAGAACAACAUAUUAAUUUUUCACGUAAUUUCAUGAUAUGGAUUAAGAGAGAUAAUUUGUUUUUAAUUUUAAAAACUCUAAAAUGUCUCCUUGUUGUUUAAUUAUUUUUCUAAAUGUUAAUUGAAAGUUUAUAUUCUUAUGAUUAUUGCACUCAAAAUAUUAACAAUUACAUGAGUUUAUUUUAAAAUUGAACUCAAAAUAUUAACAAUUACAUGAGUUUAUUUUAAAAUUGAGAGAACUUUAAAUUCCAAUUUAACUGAUUUAAAAUCAAAAUCAACAAUAUAAAUAUUUACGAAUAUAAAAGACUUACUUAAAAAAUAAAAAAGGACUAACGUUGAAAGUUAAAAGAUAAAUCUAUUAUAUUCAUAUAACUUAAAAAACUACAAUAUAUAUUUGCAUAAAUAAAUUUAAUAAUAUAAUAUUAUUACUUUUUAAGGUAAAAUAUGAUUAGUUAGUAUUACUUUCACAAAAGAAAAUGAAAAUGAGGUGUAUUAGUGUAUGAUUAUUACCUAACAAUAUAUAUAUUGGCCAAACAAUUGGUUCCGGAAAAAUCAUAAGGGUGUAUUAAUACUUUUUCAGCACUAUAUCAUUUUUCUUCCAUACAAUAUUGCAGAUUAAUUCGCACUACUACCUUUAUAAAAGCAUAAGUAUUAUUCUAUGGUACCAUUUUGUAAGUUUUAUUUUUCAAACUCUCUAACACAUCACACAUGAUAUUGCAGUCUCUUUAUAACCUUUUACAUAGAAACUGAAUAGAAUGUAUAUGCAAUAUUGAUGCUUACGGUAGGACAAUUCACUACUAGAAAAACAAGCUUUAGCGUCGGCCAAGAACCCACGCUAAAAACAAAAGGCCGACGCUAAAUAUGAUUUAGCGCCGCAGCAGAGGCUCAAUCUAAAAGGCUCGAAGCUAGUCAUUCGCGUCGGCUUCUUGUCAUCGGACGCUACAAUCUAUGGCAGAAUGGCCGAAGCUACAUGUUGUGUCGAUGAAACCGACGCUAAAUAGCGUCGGUUAGGCCUACGCUAACAUUGAAAAUCCCAAAAAAUAUAUCGCGAUACAGAACCACGUAAUAUAAAAGCUGUGUUAAUAAAUCCACAACGCAAAUUACAAAUAGUUAUUACAAAAAAAUAUUAUUGCACACGAAAAAAAGAUAAAAUAAAUAAUAGUAUAUCAAACUUAGAUGAAAUUAAGGUAAUUAGAGAAUCGAAUGAAUAGCAUAGUCCACCUUAAAAAAAAAAAACGAUAAGCAAUUAAAUCUAGAUUUGAAUUUUGUCAUUUUUAAUUAGAACAUUGUUCACUUGUUCUAGAGUUCUAUAUAAAUACAAUGUGUUUUUCCACUCUCAAAUUCCUUCAAAUAUUACCACCAUUUCAUUAUAAAGGAAAAAAGAAAGUAUUUUCGGUCUAAAAUGAAAAAGUAUACGAUAAGACUUACUCUUAUUAAGGGGAUUAGCACAAGGUCUUACAAAUUCUCUAAAAUUACCUUACCCUCCAAGAUCAAGAAGGAGAAACUUUACAAACAACUUAAAAGUAAGUUUUUGAGGCCAUUUACUCAUGCAAAAUACAUAUAAACCUCAAUAAAAAUUUCACAUAAUCCCAUCUCAUAAUAGAACAUAAAAACUAAAAAAAUAAAAAUAACAUAGUACCUUUCCUUGAUAAAGAACAAAAGGUAGGAGAAUAAGAAAUGCAGCACAGGGAAAAGAAAAUGAUAAUGGUAAAACAUGUAAGACCCAAAGAUCUAAGAUAACCCAUAAGCAUAGCAUUCCCAUCAUAAACAAAUUGCACACCAUUUCCCUCCAAUUACAGCCACAUCUUCCAUCAUACCAUAACUCAUCAUUUUUACUCAUUUCUUAUAAUUCCAAAUUCCAAACAUGAGAGGAGUGAUUUAUAUUUUAGUCUAUCCUCUCUUUUAUAUCUCAAUUUCAAUUCCCUCUAUACUCAAUAAUUCUCUCUAUCAUAAAUCAUAUAUUAAACUAAUAACAAGAAAAUGAAUAUGGAACUAAUCAUGAGAGUAUUGAUGAUGUAUGCAAUCCAAGUCUCCACAAUAAAAGUUCUAUUAGUUUUGAAGUCUAAGGUCUACAUCACUAACACAUAAUCAACUAGAAGACAAUAAGUGCGAAUUUAAUACUUACAAGCUCAAGUUCCACAUCAAUAUGAGCCUUGUGGCAUGAGGUCUGGAACGCUCUUCUUCUUGGUGAAGCUCGACGAUCUUAUUUUGAUUGGAGAUGUUCUUGAAUUUUACGCCUUCCCUGUAAGCUUGAAGACAAAUCCAAGCUUCCUCACCUAGAAAAAAAUAUAUGAACUUAAGAAACAAAUCAAACAUGACAAUGUAAACAAUUUGUAAACUAGACAUAGAUUACCAAUGAUAAAUAAGGGUAACAAUAAGAACAAUCAACUUGUAAACUAGACGAUGAGAUCAAUAAUCUAUUACAACUUACAAGAACCUCAAAAUAUAGAUUAUGCAAGUAUCAACCAAUAAUUGUGAGUCAGAAUGCUUCCAUCAAUAAUCUAUUGCAACUUACAAGAAGCAAACGUGCUUUUCUUAUAAUGACACAAUAACUAAAUCCCUAAGUUACAUCUUUGUUCACAUAAGGUAAAAUUAAAAGGUAAGUUAUCAAACAUGCAAAUAAGGAACAAAAAAGCUUAACCUUGUUCAAUAUAAACAUUAAAUUUAAAUAACAAAAGAAAAUCAUAAGUCUAAUAAUCAUCAAUCUCAAUCCAAUGCUCAAAAUAUACUUUAGUUCAAUCAAGGCAGGUGCAGCUAAAGGUCUUACUGUUUCCAAAUCACACCAUAAUAAUGGAAAUAAUGAUCUUUUCAACGUGGGCUUCAUCGCUAGGUCUGCUGCAAAGAUUCAAGCUAUAGCUAAUAACAAAUUCAUCCUUCUACAUGAUGAGGACAAUGCAUGUAGCUCAAACUAGACUGUAAUUGAGGAUGAACUAGGGAUUAAUGUUAAUUCUCAAGGCUACAUCCCUCCAAAUGACAGUACCCUGUAAGUUACAGAGAUAUCAGAAACACCUUUGGAUGAUAUGACUACAAGAUUUGGAGUUGCACCCUCCUUAACAUUUUUUAGGAACACAAGGCACAAUUGCACCUUAUUAAGCCACAAUAAGAACAACAUUUAUCAACAUACAAAAUCAAUCACUAACAACAAUCAAAUGUAAACUAACCAUGAUUAUGAGACAUCACAUCCAGAUCCACUAAUCUGCAAUUCAAUCACAUAAUAGUUUCAUAUUUUUCAGACUUCAGUAAAAAGAACAGAACAUGGCAAUAUCAAAAAAAAUUAGGGUUCAAGGAUCAAAGUAGCUUACCUGAUGCUGCAAGAGUUGUGUGAGGGCUUCCUAGAAGAGAAGGGAGAAGUGGUCAUAUGACUGUGAAUAGAGGUCAAAAAUCAUAUUUGAACAAUGUAACAAUAAUGCUUUCUAAAAUAUGGGGUUUAGGAUUUUAUAAAAAUUGAGAGAAAAUGAAAGAUUAGAGUUUCAUAAAAAUUGUUCCUUUGAAACUCAAACUCGAGACUUUAGGAAAGAAAAACUCACCUUUGAAUAAAAUGAAGACAACAGUGGAGGAAGAAAAGUAUGGCAUGGCAGUGAUAAACCAAAACUUUCUGCAAAGAAAAAACUGGAAGGAAAUUAGAAUAGACAAGAAUGAGGGAAACGAGAGUGAUGAGAAUGAAUGAGGGAAAGAAAGGAAAAUCGUGAAGGUUUUUUUGGUGUGUGGGGCAAAAAGAAAGGGAUGAAGGGAGGAGAAUGGAAGGAAGAGAACUGGUGGAAAGAGACGAGAGUGGACGGUUAAAACCGUAUUUUCUAGCGGUUAUUAUUACCUAGAAUAUAACCCGGGCAAUACUUCAUAAUUCUAUAAAUAAGUAGUUAUUGUGAAUAAGAUUUUAAAAAUAAUAUAAUUUAUUUAUUUUAUUUGUAGAGUAAUUUUUUUAAGUGGAUUUAGUAGAGUAAUUAUUAUAUAUAAGUUGACAUACACACAUUUGAGAAUAAGUAAAAUGUUUUGUAUAGUGAAGAUCAUCCUACAAAUAAAAUUCAUAAAUUAUAUUUAUUGUUAAAAAUCUUAAAAAUAUUUUAAUAAAUAUUAAUAUAUAUAAUUAUCUACCACAAAAUUAUAUUAAUCAUGCUCUUCUUUUGUGUUGUCAAAAUAUUGUUAGAAAAAUAUGAAAAUAAUUUUAUCAUUUAGUAUUCAUUUCAUUAUAAUCUGUAAAAAAAACAAAUAAUUUUUUAAUCUAAAUGGUAAAUAGUUUUAUCUCAAAGACACAAUAAUAACACUCAUAUAAAGCUGAAUAUGGACAAUAUUAUUUGUCUUUUGAGAAGCCAACAUACGAUCAUGUCGUAGAUGAGAUCACAUAUGUCUCUAAAAACAAUAUUAUAACUAAGAACAAUCAAGAUUUUGAGAAAAAUGAACAAAUAAGUAUAAUAUGUUACAAAAUACCACUUACUCAAAAACUAUUUGUACAAAAAAAAACAAUUCCAACUAUAUCUACUUCUUUGAAAUAAUUGGGUUGCAAAGAGAUUUUCUUUUGAGUUGAUAAAGUGGAGUUGUGAAAACUUAUAUGCAUAAUGUUUUCUCAUGACAUUGACAAAUCUUAAAAGUUAAUAGCAUAAGUUGCGAUAUAUAAGUUAAUUGCAUGAUGCUGCGAAAUAAAAGAUAAUUGCAUAAGGUGUGUUAAAAUAGCUACAAGAAAAAAAUAUAUUGACCAUUUAAAUAUUGGAGUUUCAGUUACCAAAAUAUAAUGUCAAAAUAAAUAUUAGAGUUUCAGUUUUGUUUUUAAUAAAACACUAAUUGUAUAGAUUAUUUGAAGAAGUAGAAUAGUAUACGUAGAAGAAAAAAACUUAUAUAUUGAUUGUACUUAAAUUUGUAACUCAUGACACAUUAAUAGUUAUACAUACUAUUAUAUGUUAAAUAAUAAUAAUAAUAAUAACAACACAACAUUUGAUAAAGAUGUAGGAGUCUAUUUUAAUAUAUAUAAUAGAUAAAAUGUGUGUUAAAGCAAAAUGAAAGUUGAAUAAUAAAGAGAAUUUAAGCGGAAAAACCAUUUAGAUGUGGCACAUGAGAUUUUUGUUGAGGUGACAAUAUUUGAAUGAAAUGACAUAAUAUUAGAUGAUUUUUAAGUGGGAGUCUAUUUUAAUUUAAGAUUUUUGUUAAAGGGACAAUAUUUGAAUGAAAUGCCAUAAUAUUAGAUGAUGUUUAUGUAGGAGUCUAUUUUAAUAUAUUGUUUAUCUAAAAGAAAAAGGUUUAAAAACAUGUAAUGAUGGAAGAAGAGAUAGAUAAACCUUUAAAAUGAUUCAAUAUAUUAAUUGAUAGUUAAAACAUACAAAGAGGAAAAAUUGUUAUCAACAAAGAGGAAUAAUUGUUAUCAAUAAUGAUGAGGAAACACCGUUAAUUAUCAAUAAUGAUGGAGGAAUAAUGAAUGUCUAAUAAUUGAUAACAUAUUUAUUUAUUGUGUUGUAAUUUGUAACUUAUAGCAUAUGAAUAAUUUUACAAAAUAUAUAUGAAAAAAAUAAAUUGCAAGUAUGAUAAUAAGAAAGAGGAAGAAUCUUGUUAGACGUGCCACAUCAAUUUUUUUUUUAUGGGACAAUAUUUGAAUGAGAUGACACAAUAUUUGAUAAACACGAAGGAGUCUAUUUUAAUAUAUAUUAUAGAUACAUUUUUUUAAUUAUUAUAUAUAGAUACAUAUAUAUCACAGAUCUAGUUUGUUACAAGGUAAAACAAACACAAUAGUUCUUAUUGAUUAAAGUAAAACAUAAUUAAACAAACAUACAUGGUAAUGUAACCGUAGAUAAUGAGUGAGGGAAUUGAAUUCCUUCUCAUCUGUUAUUCAUAUUCAUAGUAGAAACACAACAACCAUGACCUUCUUUAAAUAGAGAUACUAUUGGGAAUGCCUCUAAAAGUCAAUCCUUCUUCACUAGAAGGAUAAAGAAGAGUGUAUGGCAUCUUCACAGGUCCAUUUCGAUUCCUAAGUGUCUCAUCAUUGUUCCUUUGAGUGAGCUUUUGCUCAAUUUCAGCCAACUUCUUUCCAAACCUCUUGUAGGCCUCUAUUGGUUGUGAGUCAGAAGUCCAUAGAUCACCUUCAAUUCUCUGUCCAAGGUAUUGCUCAUCAGAAGCAUGCCUUGACAAGACCUCUAUAAUGGUCAGGUCAGUAAGGGUAUCAUUCUUUGGUGUGAUUGUCCUCAAAUAUGUCUUUUGGUAGUUCUUAGCAAGUUCAUCAUACUCAGGGGAUCCUUUCUCAGGCAUAUAUCUCCUACUUUUAGUUGGUCGGUUAAGGAUAUAUCCUCCAUAUGGAUAUUGUCCAAAAUUAACAGCUGCAUGAAGUGCUGAAGCAAUCCAUAUGAGAAUGGUGCAAGCUUCAAUCAACUCUUUACGAGUUUGCAUCUUAAACCACCAUGUAGCAUUCUUCAAGUCACCAUGACCAACCUCUACAAGUUCUUUCCAAAAUGCUUGGAGUUCAGAAUCUUGUGCAAUAGCAUCAUCUGACUUGUAGUAAAAAUUCACAUAUUCUUCAACCCAUGACUUGAUAGCAGCCCAUAUUUCUAGUCCAUCAGAAGCAUAAGGGUAGUCUUCUAUUAGAAGGCGAAUACCAUAUGGUGAGGAUGGAUCCUCAACAGCCACUCCCCUAUAUAACAAGCAAGGAAAAUAUAAUUAAAAUAUAAAAAUUAGAUCAAUAUCUUUUUUAACAAAUUAAUGGAGUGACCCUUUUGUAAGGUUACCUUUUAUGUAAUUAAAAUAUAAAAAUUAGAUCAAUAUCUUAAACCACAAAUUAAUGGAGUGGCUCAUGGAUGAAAUAUUUUGUAAUUAAGAUUACCUUUUGAGUAAAUCAUAAGGUAGUCCUUGCUCAGUGAAAACCCAAUCCUUGUAAACAGUAGAAGACAUUUCCAAAGCAUAUCCACCCCACAAGAAUGUUGAUUCUAUAAUACCUUCGGCAUUGACAAGGACAUUUCGAGCAAGUGCAUUUAUGUUCAUUGUAUCACGAUAAUGUGGAAGUAAAAGUUUAUGAAUAGGAUGAACCACACUAAGAUGUCUAUUUGUUGCUAUGAUGAAUGGCUCAACAACAGCGUGAGUGUUCAACCUGUCACAUAUAUAUAUUCAUGAAUUACUCAUGGAUAGAUAAAACAUGUUACAUUGUACAAACAUCAUUAAUGAAACUCAUACCAAUGGCUAACAAGUUGGUGAUAACAGGAGUCAUUUACAACAACAUAAGCCUUGGAAAGUAGCCAAAUUGAAGCUUCAACACCUUCGCUUGCCGGCAAGUAUACAUUACUAACAGGACCAAAACUAUCACCUUGAGGAUGUGGCCUACUUAGCUCAAUUGCCAAUGGCUUCAAUGUUCCAUCAUUUUGCAAGAAAAGAAUGGUUCUUGUAGCAUAGGCCUUAGUGUCGGUUGCAUUUAUUUUCCUCAAAUAUGGAAAAAGUGGAUCGUGGUGAUCAAGUAUAUACAAUCUAUUAUUUUGGAUGGCCUGUUAAACAAAAUAUAAUUUUUUUGAUGUGGUUCAUUUGAAUAAAAACAAUCAAUUUUGCUGAAAAAGAAAAAUAUAAUGAAUCCUUUUGGGGAGUGUCCAAUUGUCUUACCUCUUCUACGGUGACACCACUCAUGUUUGGCUCUAAGUGUUCUUUGGUUAUUGUGCUAGUAUUAUCACCAUAGAUUUGACUAUCUAACUUGCUCUUUGGUGGGAACUCCUAAAUUAAUUGUAGCAAAAAAUGAGGUUAAUUACCAAUUAUAAUUAUAGGAUGAAAAGAGACAAAUUAUAAUGUUAACUAUGAAGUUUACCGUAAGUAUUUUGAUGAUGUGUGGAUUAACACCAGCAAUCAUCUCCCUUGCAAAUUCCUCAUCAGUCAUCCAAGCAGAAUGAUCCACUAUUCAUGAUAGAAAAAUUUUAAUAGAACAUUGAACAUCUUUUUUAUGAUUUAGCAUGUAAAUAUAUUUACAAGACUAGGAAUUUGUGAGUAAUAUAUACCUUGAACCACUUUAGGUGGUGGGAAUUUAAGUGCCGAUUCACCAUCACUUCGGAAAAGUUCAGUAAACAAUGGUAUUGGGCUAAUUUCACUUAAUAUAUUAGUGGGAAGCUUAAUUCCACCAUCAUAGAGCGAGCGUACAUCUUCAAAAGUGUUAAAUUCAGGUUCAUUGAGUUGUAAUGUAACUACAGAUCUUAACCGAGGUAUGAUAUUUUGAGAUGCUGAUUUGAGUAUGUAAACAAGAAAAUCUGACGACUUCAAGUGACCAAAUGAUUCAUCUCUUGGAAGGUAAACAACGUCGCUCCGACUCUCACUCUUAGGAUCUGUUCACGUAUAAAAUAACAAAAUAUGUUAUAGAAACUACAAUAAUAUUUUUAAAAUCACAAGUAGAGUAAACAUUGUAUGAACAAAAAGACACAUUGUUCUGCUCCAAAAAAGUGGCACCAUGUCAGUAUAGUUAGCCUUAAUUUCAAUUAUGUCAAGGUACCAUUAAACAACCUGUAUUGGUCACUAGUAACAAAAAAACAUUACAUAAAAAGUUACAUUAAAUACAAUUUCACAUUUUAGUACAAUAUUAUUGGAUUUGUACUAAAAUAUACGUUAAAAGUAAAAUAGAAGGCUUAACCUUUGCUAGUUGGUUUUUUGCCAGUUCUACCCCUUCGAGGGUAAGGAAGGGUGCUCGAUCCUCCAAGAAUUGGACGAGCUAAGGUACUUUUCUUGUCGGGCUCACCCAAAUCAUUGUAGACAUCAUAAUCAUAUAUUCUUUCCCAUUCUUUACGUUCUCCAGUUCCAUCUCCUCUUAAAGUUUUCAACUCUUCUUUUCUAUAGUACACUAAUGGAGCUGGUGUUUCACUUGGAAUAUAUGUCUACAUAAAUUUAAUCAUUCAUAACCUCAAGUUUAACGAACAAUAAUCUAUAUAUAUAACAUUUUUAAUAAAUAUAUUUAACAAAGUAAGAUAAAAUUUAUAUACUUAAUUACCUUG
This 21666-nucleotide long non-coding RNA is filed under the name Cicer arietinum (chickpea). Its description in RNAcentral is "long non-coding RNA (CARI_LNC002389)". Lineage: Eukaryota; Viridiplantae; Streptophyta; Magnoliopsida; Fabales; Fabaceae. The record is from RNAcentral.